Long non-coding RNA from Peromyscus leucopus (white-footed mouse), 1130 nucleotides. RefSeq lists it as uncharacterized. The record is from RefSeq and is a predicted model, not a curated record. The transcript has 2 exons. NCBI's taxonomy places the organism in Eukaryota, Metazoa, Chordata, Mammalia, Rodentia, Cricetidae.
UGUCUUUGCGUCUGUCCUUCUCUCCACCUGGGCAACUUACUACAUGAUGCUUUCUUUGCCUGGAUAACUCCCUCUCCAGGCCUCUGAUCAGAUCACACUGGCACAGGGGCAGUUUGGGCCUCCCAAGUUAACCUAGCCCUGUUAAUCUUUUACGACAAACAUUAUAUUUUAACUCCGUGUAUGUGUCUUUCCCUGGAAGAUCCGAGCACAGCUGAGUUCAUGACUUUUUUGCUCAGUCAUGUACUAUACAUUCCGCAUCUAGCACUGAGGAAGGGGAGAGAGAGAGUUCUAGAAGGCCUCACACAAAGCAUUAGAAUAUCCACACAGGAAAAAAAAAAAAAAAACAAGUUGGCAAAGAGGAAGGCUGGAAGAUAUUCCCUCCCCACCCACUGAGGCCAGCCAGGCCCAGAGAUAACUCCAGCGUCCAAGUGUGACUGUGAAUCUUUGUGAUACUAAAACACACACCUGAGGGUGGAGAUUUAAAUGGAGACACACAACGCAUGAAGUUGUAUUGAAGUUGUAUGAAGAACUACGUGUAACAAAGCAUGUGAAGAAAAGUCUGCGAUAUGUAAACGAGUUCCCAAAGCCCACGCUAAGGUAUGAACGUGUACCGUGUGCAUGCCUGCUACACACCAGGGUCAGAAGAGGACCUCGAAAGAACCACCAUUUGGGUGCCGGGAAUUGAACUUGGGUCCUCUGCAAAAGCAACAAGUGAUCCUACAAACUGAGUUACCUUCUCCCCAGCCCCAAGACAGCAGUGCUUUAAUACUGCAAGACAGCGACACUGUGGAGGGCCCUGUGAGCCUGGACUCACAGAGCCCCAACCCUGCGACUUUCUAGCUGGGUAGCCUGGGAGCAUAAACAACUUAACUUGUCUAUGACUCACUUAACUCAUCUGAAAAAUGGGAAUACCAACACCUACUUUCACGGUUGCUGUGAUCACUGAGUGGGCUAAUGGUGAUCAAGGGGUAAGGAAACACGUGGUUGAUAUAAAGUAGAGAGAAAGGAUGACGAAGUUUUACCAUUGUUGUCAAAAGUAUCUUCUCUGGGUUCGCCUCCCCUCUGCCCUCUUACCUGGUGGUGUUUGGCAGUAUUAAACAGACAGAAAUAAAACUGGAGGAAAUAAGGGA